RNAcentral lists this small nucleolar RNA (132 nucleotides) under Amphiprion percula (orange clownfish). Its description in RNAcentral is "Small nucleolar RNA SNORA27 (ENSAPEG00000019953.1)". Lineage: Eukaryota; Metazoa; Chordata; Actinopteri; Pomacentridae. The record is from RNAcentral.
AACCCCAUCUUCACUUUGCCACCUGGAACCUCUCUGUCCUCGGUGGUCAUUCACAUGGGGAAAAGUAGUUGAUCCUUAAGCAUCCCAGCCGAACUUUAUGUUUUGACCUGGGCUUGCAAUGAGGAGACAGCA